ACUCCGGCUUGAGUGUUAAAUGGCCAGCAGGAAUUAUCCACUAGAGAAGCGGAAGGGAGAGAAUGGAAAUGGCCGCAUGCAGCUCCUCUCCCUCAGACAGCUCGGGGCUCAGCGGAAUGAGCACAGUCUGCAGGACAAGUGCGGAGGACUUCAGUCCCCUCUACUGUAUAUUGGCUUUAGGACUCAAGUUGUCCCUGAAAUAGAGGAAGGUGUUUUCUAGGGUAGUGGUAAUUAUCACAGUCAAAAAAGUAGGCGAGAGCACUUAGGAAAACUGUGCGGAGAUCGGCUGCUGAUGUGUAAAUACUGCUGAAGCUGCUUAUUCAAGAUUAGAAAACCUGAGACCCAGACGGGGGAAACUGCUUUCCAUGGUUAAUCGUCAACAACUGGCCAGGAUGGGACAGAAGCCCAUACAUAGCCUUCAUUCCAGGGCUCAGAACAAAAAGAAGGCAGUGGCCUGGGCUGCACCUGAGCUUGGCUUCACAUAGGAGGGAUUCUGGAACGCAGGAUCCUGACAACGACCUCAAGCCCCUGUAAAGCAACACAUUUUUUGGCAAGAAUCCCUGGGACAGAGAAAGAAUUUCUUCUCACUUAUUAUUGAGAAUGUUCUCAUGUCUUGCAAGAACUGAGACUACCAUACACCUAAGAAGUCAAAGUUGCUAUUCAAGGGGAAGUGCAAACACAAGAUGAGGGAAACUGAUGUAUUUAGUGUCUACAUUUUACAAAUGGAUGCUUUUCAUAAUAUGAAAAUACUGCACCAUAAGAUUGCCAGUCACAACAGCACGGCUACAGUGAAAAUGAUCCCAGUGGAUUUGUUACGGUGAGAAAGCUUCACUUGGAGACAAAGCCAAAACCUUCCUCCCAGGCUCCCUUGGAUGUAGGGGGAAGCAAACUGGCUGUCCAGGCCUCUGAGCCACAUCUACACACCUCAUGAGAGGGCCUGUGCAACAUUGCCUUAGAGAUGGAGAGCAUUGCUUCAGAAUCAGGGAAGCCUAAAUUUCACCCCUGGGGCUGCCCCUUGUGAUCUUGAAUGGCUCCUGACAAGAGGCUGCUGGGGAGGCUCCUGCUCCCUGCCUUUCGGGACUGCCGUGGAUUGCCCAUUGAUGGGUCAAAAUCCAGCUACCUGGUAAUUCAAUGAGUCCCUAGUGUGCAUCCAAUAAAUUAUCUUCUGUUUAAAUUAGAACAAA
RNAcentral lists this long non-coding RNA (1184 nucleotides) under Homo sapiens (human). RNAcentral describes it as "long intergenic non-protein coding RNA 2405". Lineage: Eukaryota; Metazoa; Chordata; Mammalia; Primates; Hominidae. The record is from RNAcentral.